UCAGUGAGCCGUGGGAAGGCAAAGCACUCUCUUUCCUUCCUAUUCCUUACUGCGCUUUGGAGUGGUAUUUAAAACCUGGAUAGCUGUGGAGCUGUGAAAGCCAUUUGGUACCCAGGCUUCUCUGACUGGACAAGAGAGCUCGAUGAGCUUUGACGCCGAGAACUGUAAUGAUCUUCAGAGGAGGAGGAAGAAAUCGCUCUCCCAGCUUGUUCAGCUCAUCGUGGACUAGGUUAAGAGAAAUGAACUUUGGCUUUGAGUUACUUUUGGUGUUGAUGUUGGGUGUGAAAGCAACACAAACCACGCUGGAUACAUAUGCAACGUUGUUUCCAAAACCCAUGGAAGAUCUUUUGUUCCCCCGGAACUCCACUAUCAAGAAUGUUUACCAACGGGAAAUUUCAAUCCUGUUGGUGAAGACAACUAACACUUAGAGCUAAGAGCUGCUGGAAGAGGAAGGGAUUUUGUGUUUAAAAGCACCUUAAAGGGCAGUUAACACCCAAGGGAGUCUGUGAAGCAAUGGCCAUGCUAACUGCUGUGAGCUACAAUGGGAUCUGUAGGUGAAUACCACAAGGCAGGGCUACCAACUGGUCGAUGGCUUUUGUAAGUCACCUGUUGUGCGUAGGAUGCAAUGUAAGAUAAUUUGUAUGUUAUUAAACUGUUGAUUAAACGUGGUGCCGGCA
RNAcentral lists this long non-coding RNA (677 nucleotides) under Rattus norvegicus (Norway rat). RNAcentral describes it as "long non-coding RNA NONRATT013528". Lineage: Eukaryota; Metazoa; Chordata; Mammalia; Rodentia; Muridae. The record is from RNAcentral.